This 437-nucleotide ribosomal RNA is filed under the name uncultured Pseudoflavonifractor sp. RNAcentral describes it as "partial 16S ribosomal RNA". It matches the Rfam family "Bacterial small subunit ribosomal RNA", at positions 341 to 792 of the family's 1533-position model. The record is from RNAcentral. Lineage: Bacteria; Bacillati; Bacillota; Clostridia; Eubacteriales; Oscillospiraceae.
ACGGAAGGCAGCAGUGGGGAAUAUUGGGCAAUGGGCGCAAGCCUGACCCAGCAACGCCGCGUGAAGGAAGAAGGCUUUCGGGUUGUAAACUUCUUUUACCAGGGACGAAGGACGUGACGGUACCUGGAGAAAAAGCCACGGCUAACUACGUGCCAGCAGCCGCGGUAAUACGUAGGUGGCAAGCGUUGUCCGGAUUUACUGGGUGUAAAGGGCGUGUAGGCGGAGAUGCAAGUCAGGAGUGAAAUCUAUGGGCUCAACCCAUAAAUUGCUUUUGAAACUGUAUCCCUUGAGUAUCGGAGAGGCAGGCGGAAUUCCUAGUGUAGCGGUGAAAUGCGUAGAUAUUAGGAGGAACACCAGUGGCGAAGGCGGCCUGCUGGGCUUUAACUGACGCUGAGGCUCGAAAGUGUGGGGAGCAAACAGGAUUAGAUACCCUGGUA